Molecule: ribosomal RNA, 1239 nt
Filed under: Arthrobacter sp. C41
Lineage: Bacteria; Bacillati; Actinomycetota; Actinomycetes; Micrococcales; Micrococcaceae
Description: bacterial SSU rRNA
Rfam family: Bacterial small subunit ribosomal RNA
Source: RNAcentral
UUUGUUGAAAGAUUUAUUGGUUUUGGAUGGACUCGCGGCCUAUCAGCUUGUUGGUGAGGUAAUGGCUCACCAAGGCGACGACGGGUAGCCGGCCUGAGAGGGUGACCGGCCACACUGGGACUGAGACACGGCCCAGACUCCUACGGGAGGCAGCAGUGGGGAAUAUUGCACAAUGGGCGAAAGCCUGAUGCAGCGACGCCGCGUGAGGGAUGACGGCCUUCGGGUUGUAAACCUCUUUCAGUAGGGAACAAGGCCAGCAUUUUUGUUGGUUGAGGGUACUUGCAGAAGAAGCGCCGGCUAACUACGUGCCAGCAGCCGCGGUAAUACGUAGGGCGCAAGCGUUAUCCGGAAUUAUUGGGCGUAAAGAGCUCGUAGGCGGUUUGUCGCGUCUGCCGUGAAAGUCCGGGGCUCAACUCCGGAUCUGCGGUGGGUACGGGCAGACUAGAGUGAUGUAGGGGAGACUGGAAUUCCUGGUGUAGCGGUGAAAUGCGCAGAUAUCAGGAGGAACACCGAUGGCGAAGGCAGGUCUCUGGGCAUUAACUGACGCUGAGGAGCGAAAGCAUGGGGAGCGAACAGGAUUAGAUACCCUGGUAGUCCAUGCCGUAAACGUUGGGCACUAGGUGUGGGGGACAUUCCACGUUUUCCGCGCCGUAGCUAACGCAUUAAGUGCCCCGCCUGGGGAGUACGGCCGCAAGGCUAAAACUCAAAGGAAUUGACGGGGGCCCGCACAAGCGGCGGAGCAUGCGGAUUAAUUCGAUGCAACGCGAAGAACCUUACCAAGGCUUGACAUGAACUGGAAAUACCUGGAAACAGGUGCCCCGCUUGCGGUCGGUUUACAGGUGGUGCAUGGUUGUCGUCAGCUCGUGUCGUGAGAUGUUGGGUUAAGUCCCGCAACGAGCGCAACCCUCGUUCUAUGUUGCCAGCACGUUAUGGUGGGGACUCAUAGGAGACUGCCGGGGUCAACUCGGAGGAAGGUGAGGACGACGUCAAAUCAUCAUGCCCCUUAUGUCUUGGGCUUCACGCAUGCUACAAUGGCCGGUACAAUGGGUUGCGAUACUGUGAGGUGGAGCUAAUCCCAAAAAGCCGGUCUCAGUUCGGAUUGGGGUCUGCAACUCGACCCCAUGAAGUCGGAGUCGCUAGUAAUCGCAGAUCAGCAACGCUGCGGUGAAUACGUUCCCGGGCCUUGUACACACCGCCCGUCAAGUCACGAAAGUUGGUAACACCCGAAGCCGGUGGCCU